GAUGAAGAACGUAGUGAAAUGCGAUAAGUAAUGUGAAUUGCAGAAUUCAGUGAAUCAUCGAAUCUUUGAACGCACAUUGCGCCCCCUGGUAUUCCGGGGGGCAUGCCUGUUCGAGCGUCAUUUCACCACUCAAGCCUCGCUUGGUAUUGGGCAACGCGGUCCGCCGCGUGCCUCAAAUCGACCGGCUGGGUCUUCUGUCCCCUAAGCGUUGUGGAAACUUUCGCUAAAGGGUGUUCGGGAGGCUACGCCGUAAAACAACCCCAUUUCUAAGGUUUACCUCGGAUCAGGUAGGGAUACCCGCUGAACUUAAGCAUAUCAAUAAGCGGAGGA
RNAcentral lists this unclassified non-coding RNA (330 nucleotides) under soil metagenome. Its description in RNAcentral is "partial contains 5.8S ribosomal RNA, internal transcribed spacer 2, and large subunit ribosomal RNA". The stretch from base 1 to 120 matches the Rfam family "5.8S ribosomal RNA", at positions 35 to 154 of the family's 154-position model. The record is from RNAcentral.